GAUGAACGCUGGCGGCGUGCCUAAUACAUGCAAGUCGAGCGAACAGACGAGGAGCUUGCUCCUCUGACGUUAGCGGCGGACGGGUGAGUAACACGUGGAUAACCUACCUAUAAGACUGGGAUAACUUCGGGAAACCGGAGCUAAUACCGGAUAAUAUAUUGAACCGCAUGGUUCAAUAGUGAAAGACGGUUUUGCUGUCACUUAUAGAUGGAUCCGCGCCGCAUUAGCUAGUUGGUAAGGUAACGGCUUACCAAGGCAACGAUGCGUAGCCGACCUGAGAGGGUGAUCGGCCACACUGGAACUGAGACACGGUCCAGACUCCUACGCGAGGCAGCAGUAGGGAAUCUUCCGCAAAGGGCGAAAGCCUGACGGAGCAACGCCGCGUGAGUGAUGAAGGUCUUCGGAUCGUAAAACUCUGUUAUUAGGGAAGAACAAAUGUGUAAGUAACUAUGCACGUCUUGACGGUACCUAAUCAGAAAGCCACGGCUAACUACGUG
RNAcentral lists this ribosomal RNA (497 nucleotides) under uncultured bacterium. Its description in RNAcentral is "partial 16S ribosomal RNA". It matches the Rfam family "Bacterial small subunit ribosomal RNA", at positions 28 to 507 of the family's 1533-position model. The record is from RNAcentral.